ACUUCUACUCAAGUAGUAUUUUACUGGGUGACUUUCACUUUUACUUGAGUAUGAUAAUUUGGGACUUUUUCCACCACUGCAAUUGAGUGCAGGAAAUGCUGAAAUUAUAAGUGCUCAUUAAAAUCACUUACAAUGUAUGUGUUGCCACCCUAGGACCACUCACUACUCAUUAAGCAAAUGUAGAACACUUAUUAUUCAAAACUCAAAAAUACCGUCUUAUUUAAAAAUUAAUAAAAAAUAUCGUUAUAUAAUAUUUUGGCCAUUUCGCCUAGUCUCACACCAAUUUUUCAGUUUGUGCUCCAAAAUCCAUUUUGCUCUCGCAAAUGUUUACUAUAAUUUUAUAACCAGUGGAAAUUCUAGCCAAUGAACAUAGCCUGUAGCAGUCUACUGAAACGCAAUUGGUCUGGUUUUUGGACAAAUCACGGCUUGACUCCGCUCUAAGCAGAUGUUUUACCAUAGAGAUGAAACGAAGGCUGACCAUCAUGAAAAGGUCCACUGUCACGAAUUUAUUCUCUGCUCAGCUGACAAGAUACAGGAUCCAUUCUGUUCCAAGUAGGUUACCUUGGCUCUCCUCUAUGCACAGCACUCUGGGGACUACCUGCAGGUUAACCAUGACAUCCACCAAUCACCCACAUAACUUAAUCAUUAGUGGUACUGAGUUCCUCUAAUUUGCUGUAUGAAGGCAUUGUGCAUAGGACAUUUGUCAGGUACAGAGUAUGAUGACCAGCUGCUUUCUAUUGGUUAGAAAUAUUUUUCUACACUGAAUGAAUGUGACAGUCAUUAACCGUGUUUCCAUCCACAGUUUUUAGUGUGAGUAAAGUCAUAAAAAAAAAUUGAUAAUUUGUUUGUUCAACAUGUUGGGAUCUUUUUGUGUCUAAAAUUAAUUAUGCGAGAAAUGGCUGUGGAAACACCAGUAUGCGCAAAUAUUGAUAUAAUAACAAUCAUAUUGAAGUAAACUUGGAGUCACGCAAUGACCUGGUGUGUGGUCCUCUCACUAGGACUUGGGAAACCAUGCAGUUUGUUAGAAUACCAAUGAAAUAAAUGAUGAGUAACUUCACAAGGUGGGGAAAGUGCACGGUAUGAGCUUGACGCUCCCUUCCAAUAAAUGUCAAGGGGCUUAUUCUGAUGACAUGAUGAUUGAUGCUUGACUGCCGUUCAACAAAUAAAAAUAUUCUCGUUCUUAUCCAUAAUGAUAUCAUUAUGUAGACUAACAUACCCGCAGAGUAGGCCUAUCUGCCAGCUGUUGGCUAGAGUUCAUGUGUCAAGACCAGAGUGGGCUAUUUAACGAAACAGCUUGUGACAAAACUAUCAGUAGAGUUGAAAAUGGGAUGGAAACACAUUGAACUUUAGAUUUUUAUUCGGUACAUGAAAAACUUUAUCGAAAAAGUAUGCACUGUGUGUGCACUACGUCAUCACGCACGGAUCUUUAUCUGCAACAAGUCAGUUGGGUGGGAAAAUGCCCAUAUUUUUUUAGAUUCUCAUAACUCUUUUGCCAAUUGGAUGGAAACCAAGCUACUGCUAAACAGUAUGAGAAGUGUAGGUAAGGGGUGAAUUGAAAACCUAUAGGAGGAUAGCUCUCCUCGAGGUGUGUUGGACAUGAAAUGACAGCAGGCUGUCAUAGGGUCUGACAAGUGGUGUGGAUUGGUACAGGGCAAUUCCACAUUAUUAAGAGUGAUGCUGAGACUCAGAUGAAUUACUUUAAAAUGUAUGUCAUACAAACCAAUGAUUGCAAGUUGUUCAAAGUAGUCCUUGUGCAUAGAGUUGUGUGGUUUGUUUCACUUUGAAAUCAUUUGUUUUUGUUUGACAUACAUUAUAAAGUGAGCUGGCCUACAGCUCGGCUCAGUCCCACAUCGUGUUUUAUCACUUAUUUGUCUAAAUUAUUAUCCACAGUUGCCUCUUUUGAUUCAGCCACAGCAGUCUUAAGAUAGAUUGUUACCUUGAAUGCAAUAUUAAGAUGUCAAAACAUUUUAAACUCCAAUAUAACUUUUUUGACAUCUUAUUUUCCUCUCUUUCACUCGUUCUCAGGACACAGGUCGUGUGUGUGUGUGUGUGUGUGUGUGUAGAGAGAGAACACAUUUGACGAGGUGGAGUCUGGCUUCUACUUCAUCGCCCUGGACUACUACACAACUCAGCACAUAUGUGUUUCUCCACCUUCCCCAGUGCCCUACUUUUGUUUACUUUUUAACAAUGUCUAUGGAUCGUAAAAUCAUUUUAUGUUGGGACUUCAAAUCCACACUAAAUGUAAUUCUAUGUCCUGUAUUGUUCUGCACUCUCUAAAGAUUAUGCUAAUGCCCCACUGUAAGAACCUGGAGAAACUGGUUCUGAGGGAGGUGACAUGGUCACAAAGAGUGCCUGGGGCACUUUCCAGCUCUACGGCUGUCUGGACAACAGCCAGAGGGUGGUCAGCUCUGCUGCACCUGAGAGCUAAAGAGUUAUGGAUGCAAGGACUGACCAUCACGCCUCCUUCUAAAACCCUAUUAGAGGAGACAACCCAAGGUUCCUCGCCUCAGAUCCGCUCCAAUGGGUUUUGACAAGGAUACAAUGGUAGUUCACAAUCAGAAAAUGACGGUCUGCUGAGAGGGUCAUUGGCUGCAACCUGCCCUCCAUCAAGGUCCUGCACGACUCCAGGGAAAGGAAGGCUGGAGUAAAGAUCAUCGCCAAACCCUCCCACUUCCAAAGUUUCCCCUCUGGCAAACGGUUCAGGUCAAUCACGACCAAAACCUCCUGAACAGUUUCUUCCCCCGUGCUGUGGGCCUCACUAACCGGUCACCUAGUCCAUGAUGAUCUCCUCAUCCAUGGAUGUCUCUCUCUGCGCUAUUCAUUCAGUGACUAUGCCCCCUGCACUAUCAUUCCAGAACUGCACAUUGCUCUUUGUACUCUGCACAUUUCUUACAUGCAUCAUUUAUAAUGUAGCAUAUAGUGUUCAUAGUGUACAUACUGUAUGUGGAUCUUUGGAAAUUCUGCAUCUAUAUAUAUUUUGUUCUGUAUAUUCUGUUUAUUGUGGCAGCACCAUUUCACAGUCAAAUUCCUCUACAUGCAAAUGUAUUCUGACAUGUUAACCUGAGUUUAGUUGGUUUAUCAUGUCAGUUGGAGUUUACAUGAUAUUAUUUGGGACUGGUUAUGUACUGUAGCAGGUAACAGAUUAUACCCUUUGUCUUCAUAUAAUAAAAAAUCCCCUGUG
Molecule: long non-coding RNA, 3181 nt
Organism: Oncorhynchus kisutch (coho salmon)
Lineage: Eukaryota; Metazoa; Chordata; Actinopteri; Salmoniformes; Salmonidae
Exons: 4
Source: RefSeq, a predicted model, not a curated record